RNAcentral lists this ribosomal RNA (602 nucleotides) under Coprinellus sp. KM1-1. RNAcentral describes it as "eukaryotic LSU rRNA". It matches the Rfam family "Eukaryotic large subunit ribosomal RNA", at positions 62 to 648 of the family's 3401-position model. The record is from RNAcentral. Lineage: Eukaryota; Fungi; Basidiomycota; Agaricomycetes; Agaricales; Psathyrellaceae. RNAcentral also lists the same sequence under 5 other names.
AAACUAACAAGGAUUCCCCUAGUAACUGCGAGUGAAGCGGGAAAAGCUCAAAUUUAAAAUCUGGUGGUCUUUGGCCAUCCGAGUUGUAAUCUAGAGAAGUGUUACCCGCGUCGGACCGUGUACAAGUCUCCUGGAAUGGAGCGUCAUAGAGGGUGAGAAUCCCGUCUUUGACACGGACCCCCGAGGCUUUGUGGUGCGCUCUCAAAGAGUCGAGUUGUUUGGGAAUGCAGCUCAAAAUGGGUGGUAAAUUCCAUCUAAAGCUAAAUAUUGGCGAGAGACCGAUAGCGAACAAGUACCGUGAGGGAAAGAUGAAAAGAACUUUGGAAAGAGAGUUAAACAGUACGUGAAAUUGCUGAAAGGGAAACGCUUGAAGUCAGUCGCGUUGGCCGGAAAUCAGCCUUCCUUUUGGUUGGUGUACUUUCUGGUUGACGGGCCAGCAUCAGUUUUGACCGGUGGAUAAAGUUGUGAGGAAUGUGGCAUCUUCGGGUGUGUUAUAGCCUCGCUUCGUAUACAUCGAUUGGGACUGAGGAACUCAGCACGCCGAAAGGCCGGGGUUCGCCCACGUUCGUGCUUAGGAUGCUGGCAUAAUGGCUUUAAUCGAC